CCGAGGCACAGCAGCCCAGCAGGGAGGAGGAGGAGGAAAUAAAAUAUACCAGUAAAAAGCUCUGGGUGCUCGCUGUUCUCCGCACAUGCCUGUGUUUCUCCGCAGCUUUUGGCCAACAUGUCAACACAUGUCACUUCUUCACAAAACACCUACCAUUGCUGUAACAUCCCCCCAAACAUCAGCUGCAGAAUGAAUCUACCAGCUUUCACCAGGACUUGGGCUGGUUUCCAUUCAGCGAUGUCCCUUUAUAUUGCAGACAAGCACAUGACAUGUUACUGGGCUUCCAAAGAGCUGGAACGUAUCAGGAACUCCAGGAUUCAAGACGUUCUGCUCCUGUCACGAGUAGCUGGCGCUGAGCUAUAUUGGUGAAGCGAUGUACCAGGCACUUGGCAUUUCACGGUGCUCUGACGUCAUGGUGGGACAUAACUCAUCGGGCUGCGCUUCCACGUGUGACCUGACUGCGCGUCCCGCCAGCUCCCCCGGGAUUCGGGAUGUCUCCGUCUCUGUAACGAGGAUGUUUCUCUGUUGCAAUAACAGCAAAUACACCAGCAGCACUCGGUGCCUUUUGGAAGCAUCUAGCGAGCGGUUUAGUGCAGCCUACGCUUUCCCCAGCUGACCCCACGGGGCCGACACCAUGCCGCCCUCUGAACAGCACACAAAUCCAUCAGGAAGAGUGGAAGAGGGAGAUUCAAAUGAUAGUUAGUGGCUGCCAAAGGAUCAGAAUUAUCUGAAGUGGACACUGAGCUGAUUUUCAUUGGUCAUGUAACAUCUUGAGGUACUUCACAGGUUUUGCUUUGUUUCUUAAAGCUCCAGAUCCUGGGGUAGAGCAGGAGUCUGAAAAGAAGGCUUGGAUUUAAAAACAUCCUCUUGACCACAGGAAAAAAACCUGAGAAAUAUGAGCAAGGUUUACUGAAAACACUCUGAAAGGCAAAGGGAAGAAACCUGUCAUUCCUGCUGCGUCUCAUGAGUUGCAAGUUAAGAUUUCCUUCAAACUGUUUUUGGGUUAGCCCUGACUUCUAAACUCUUGGGGUUGCUGGCGUUGCACUUUUGUACUUGUGGUGUUAUUGAACAAAAUCCCCUUAACCCAAACGAGAGCCUCCCUUCUUCCUCAAGAGUGUUAUUGCAGGCUGGGCCAAACGUUUGAUUUCCUCCUUCUGAGGUCACCUGUGCUAGAAAUACGACCACAAGUCAAUCAGACAUUGCUCAUUGAACUUCAGUGCUGCUAAAUUUGUGAACUUCCCAAUUAAUUCUGCAGGACCUUUUCUUUCUUCCAGCACACAAAUGACGUUCACGCAGAGUCCUCAGCACUGCCCCUGGACGUUGCCUGGGCUCGAGAGGCACAAACGCGUUCUGUCCUGAUGGCAGUACAGUAAUCUGGGCUUGCGUUUAUCUACUCAGGGUCUUUAUUAAAUUUCAGUUACUCGUA
Dromaius novaehollandiae (emu) is the source of this 1426-nucleotide long non-coding RNA. RefSeq lists it as uncharacterized. The transcript is spliced from 2 exons. Lineage: Eukaryota; Metazoa; Chordata; Aves; Casuariiformes; Dromaiidae. The record is from RefSeq and is a predicted model, not a curated record.